RNAcentral lists this ribosomal RNA (297 nucleotides) under uncultured bacterium. RNAcentral describes it as "partial 16S ribosomal RNA". It matches the Rfam family "Bacterial small subunit ribosomal RNA", at positions 333 to 647 of the family's 1533-position model. The record is from RNAcentral.
AGCCACCUACGGGAGGCAGCAGUGAGGGAUAUUGGUCAAUGGGGGAAACCCUGAACCAGCAACGCCGCGUGAGGGAAGACGGUUUUCGGAUUGUAAACCUCUGUCCUCUGUGAAGAUAAUGACGGUAGCAGAGGAGGAAGCCCCGGCUAACUACGUGCCAGCAGCCGCGGUAAUACGUAGGGAGCAAGCGUUGUCCGGAUUUACUGGGUGUAAAGGGUGCGUAGGCGGCUUGGCAAGUCAGUAGUGAAAUCCAUGGGCUUAACCCAUGAACUGCUAUUGAAACUGUCGAGCUUGAGU